Molecule: ribosomal RNA, 314 nt
Filed under: Xenillus tegeocranus
Lineage: Eukaryota; Metazoa; Arthropoda; Arachnida; Sarcoptiformes; Xenillidae
Also listed under: 1 other name
Description: eukaryotic LSU rRNA
Rfam family: Eukaryotic large subunit ribosomal RNA
Source: RNAcentral
CCAAGGAGUCUAACAUGUGCGCGAGUCACUCGGUCUUGAAUAGGCCAGAGAGGCGCAAUGAAAGUAAAGUUGAUUGAGUUACGAUCCUCAUGCGGUUAUCCUUUAGGGUAACGGUGAGGCGCAGUAACAGCCCGCCAAUUUCGCUUAUUGACGAUCUGGCGGAGUUGUAGCGUACACGUUGGUACCCGAAAGAUGGUGAACUAUGCCUGGGCAAGACGAAGCCAGAGGAAACUCUGGUGGAGGUCUGUAGCGAUUCUGACGUGCAAAUCGAUCGUCAGACCUGGGUAUAGGGGCGAAAGACUAAUCGAACCAUC